CAGACGAGGAGAGAGGUCACAAAGAGGAUUUUAUUGAGAUCUCAACAAGGCAAAGGAAGCUCUAGAUCAGGGGUUCUCAACCAAGGGGCAAGGGUUUCCGGUGUGGAAGCAUUGCAAGAGGGCUUUACUGCAGUCCAGCCCAAAAAAAUUACAUUCUAGUAUAAUCUCUCAUAUCAUAGUGGACUACAAUGUACAGUAGCAGCAUGCCAUUGAGGACACCAGACAAAGUUCCAACACCUUUGCUGAGCAGAGAGAGGAUCUGAGGUGAACAAUAUGAUGAAAAUCAGUACUAAGAUCCUGUGCAGGGAUCCCUCUGCAAGAGGCCCACAGAACAUCAUCAAGGGCCACCAGUGAAGGCUCCAUGAUGGGCUUCCUGUCUGUAGCACAUACAGUGGGG
Molecule: long non-coding RNA, 397 nt
Organism: Esox lucius (northern pike)
Lineage: Eukaryota; Metazoa; Chordata; Actinopteri; Esociformes; Esocidae
Source: Ensembl